CACAGCCUCCUGACCAACCGACGACGGCUGCGACCGGCCACCAGCCCAGAUCUGAUUAAAAAAAGCGCUAAACUUCAGCAAGGCUCCCAAGCCUCCACGGCCCCUCACUUCCUCCUCCACGAGCCGCCUUCCCCGCCAAACCUCCGUGACUCCCGGCUCAGCAAUCCGAGCUCUCGGGAGCCCAGAAGGCGGCCGUGCCGGCGCGGAGGCUCGCUGGGCGCCCGCUGCGGCGGUGCCGAUGUUACGCGGCCCUCCGCAGGGCAGCACCGGGGCCGCCGCCCCGCCGCGCGGCCUGCCCGCCUCCCGCCCGCCACUCACCAGGAUGCGCUUGAAGAGAGCGUUCUCCUUGGGCGGCAGGCUGACCGACGGCAUGGUCCCGCCGCUCCGCUCCGCUCCCGCCGAGAGGCUCCGGGAGGGGUGGGGGGGCGGGCGGGCCGCGUCCCGUUCCCGCUGCUCGCUCGCCGCCGCCGGGAGCCUUCCCCCCCCCGCCGGAGCCUGGCCGCCGCCUCCCCACCCCCGCCGGCCCGCCCCGCGGCUGCCGCGCUCUCCGUCCGCCGGCCGCGGGCCCGGCCCCGUGCGCCCGCCGGGCUGGGCUGCCCCGCGCCGAGCCCCGGGCGGCGCUCACGUGGUCACGGAGCAGGCCGGAGAAGCGCCGCCAAAAUGGCCCCCGCGCGCGGCUUCCCCAGCCGGGUCACUGCGCACAGCGCGCAUGCGCCGCGACCCCGCACCGGCCCCGCACCGCCCCGCCCGGUGAGUCACGCGCCGCCGCAGCGAGGGGCUUCAGUUUUGAGCGCGGCCUUAAAGGACGCGGCGUCUCCUGUAACCGCAGCUGCCCGCGCGCGGUGCAGUCGUACUGCUCGUGCGCGGCGUCCCGCAGAACCGCUUCUUCCGCGCCCAGCCGGACGCGCGGGCUCCGCCCGGCCGGCAGGGGGCGCCCUUUGGCGCAGCCUGCGCGACCGCGACCGCCCCGCGCCCGGCGGACAAGAUGGCGGCGCCGCUGAGGGCGGCGAAGUGGCUGCGGCUGGCGGGUGGCGGGCCCGGCCUCGCUCUGACUCGUUCUGCGUUUUUCGCAAGAAAGCGUGUGUAUGA
This 1089-nucleotide long non-coding RNA is filed under the name Phasianus colchicus (ring-necked pheasant). RNAcentral's name for it is "lncRNA (ENSPCLG00000003103.1)". The record is from RNAcentral. Lineage: Eukaryota; Metazoa; Chordata; Aves; Galliformes; Phasianidae.